UACUAGAGGUCCCGCCUGCCCUGUGACCACAAAGUUUAACGGCCGCGGUAUCCUGACCGUGCGAAGGUAGCGUAAUCAUUUGUCUUUUAAAUAGAGACCUGUAUGAAUGGCAUAACGAGGGUUUAACUGUCUCCUUCCCCUAGUCAAUGAAAUUGAUCUGCCCGUGCAGAAGCGGACAUAAAUACAUAAGACGAGAAGACCCUAUGGAGCUUUAGACAAAAGAUCAAACAUGUAAAAAAACCAAAAACCCAAAAGGAACACAAAGACCGUAAAACCAGACGUAAACUGAUCCAAAUGUCUUCGGUUGGGGCGACCAUGGGGGAAAGAAAAACCCCCACGAGGAACAGGGAAUACCCCUAAACUUAGAGAGACACCUCCAAGUAACAGAAAAUCUGACCAAAAAUGACCCAGGAUAUUAAUCCUGAUCAACGAACCAAGUUACCCUAGGGAUAACAGCGCAAUCCUUUCCCAGAGUCCAUAUCGACGAAAGGGUUUACGACCUCGAUGUUGGAUCAGGACAUCCUAAUGGUGCAGCCGCUAUUAAGGGU
RNAcentral lists this ribosomal RNA (548 nucleotides) under Anguilla malgumora. RNAcentral's name for it is "partial 16S ribosomal RNA". It matches the Rfam family "Bacterial large subunit ribosomal RNA", at positions 1844 to 2572 of the family's 2925-position model. The record is from RNAcentral. Lineage: Eukaryota; Metazoa; Chordata; Actinopteri; Anguilliformes; Anguillidae.